This 377-nucleotide ribosomal RNA is filed under the name uncultured eukaryote. RNAcentral's name for it is "partial 18S ribosomal RNA". It matches the Rfam family "Eukaryotic small subunit ribosomal RNA", at positions 592 to 976 of the family's 1831-position model. The record is from RNAcentral.
CAAUAGCGUAUAUUAAAGUUGUUGCAGUUAAAAAGCUCGUAGUUGGAUUUCGGGGUGGCCUGGCUGGUCCGCCGCAAGGUGAGUACUGGUCAGCCGCCCUUCCUCUCGAAAGCCCCGACUGCUCUUUACUGCAGUGGUCGGGUAGUUCGGGACGUUUACUUUGAAAAAAUUAGAGUGUUCAAGGCAGGCUAUCGCCUGAAUACAUUAGCAUGGAAUAAUGGAAGAGGACCUCGGUCCUAUUUUGUUGGUUUCUAGGGCCGAAGUAAUGAUUAAGAGGGACAGUUGGGGGCAUUCGUAUUUAAUUGUCAGAGGUGAAAUUCUUGGAUUUAUGAAUGACGAACUAGUGCGAAAGCAUUUGCCAAGGAUGUUUUCAUUAA